AUUGAACGCUGGCGGCAUGCCUUACACAUGCAAGUCGAACGGUAACAGGUCUUCGGAUGCUGACGAGUGGCGAACGGGUGAGUAAUACAUCGGAACGUGCCCGAUCGUGGGGGAUAACGAAGCGAAAGCUUUGCUAAUACCGCAUAAGAUCUAUGGAUGAAAGCAGGGGACCGCAAGGCCUUGCGCGAACGGAGCGGCCGAUGGCAGAUUAGGUAGUUGGUGGGAUAAAAGCUUACCAAGCCGACGAUCUGUAGCUGGUCUGAGAGGACGACCAGCCACACUGGGACUGAGACACGGCACAGACUCCAACGGGAGGCAGCAGGGGGGAAUUUUGGACAAUGGGCGAAAGCCUGAUCCAGCCAUGCCGCGUGCAGGAUGAAGGCCUUCGGGUUGUAAACUGCUUUUGUACGGAACGAAAAGACUCUUUCAAAUAAAGAGGGUCCAUGACGGUACCGUAAGAAUAAGCACCGGCUAACUACGUGCCAGCAGCCGCAGUAA
RNAcentral lists this ribosomal RNA (498 nucleotides) under uncultured bacterium. RNAcentral describes it as "partial 16S ribosomal RNA". It matches the Rfam family "Bacterial small subunit ribosomal RNA", at positions 30 to 523 of the family's 1533-position model. The record is from RNAcentral.